AGCAAGUUGGCAGAACAUCUUGGCUGUCAACAACAAGCUUUCGAAUACAGGACUAGUUUGGCUGUUCUUUCAGCGUCGUGUGUGUCCAAAAUUCGUCAAAGAUUUUGAUGAAGCCCUUUCAAAAUACUGUUUGUUUGAUUUAUUUUCUUCCAUAAAGCAUAAAAGAAAAGAAAUUCGGAGAAAUCGAUAAUGGAAUUUGUUACGUGCGUUUGACCUUUAUAUUAAUUCUCGCCUUGACCGAGCUAUUUUUAAAACUGUUGUUUACGUGAACUUGC
Paramuricea clavata is the source of this 275-nucleotide non-coding RNA. NCBI's taxonomy places the organism in Eukaryota, Metazoa, Cnidaria, Anthozoa, Malacalcyonacea, Plexauridae. The record is from the annotation of a GenBank genome assembly.